GCCUCCAUAGCUCAGUGGUAAGAGCAGUGCACCGGCAAUCGCACAGGCGUAGGUUUGAUUCCUGCUGGAGGAC
This is a non-coding RNA of Paramuricea clavata, 73 nucleotides long. The record is from the annotation of a GenBank genome assembly. NCBI's taxonomy places the organism in Eukaryota, Metazoa, Cnidaria, Anthozoa, Malacalcyonacea, Plexauridae.